Molecule: long non-coding RNA, 845 nt
Filed under: Elaeis guineensis (African oil palm)
Lineage: Eukaryota; Viridiplantae; Streptophyta; Magnoliopsida; Arecales; Arecaceae
Description: long non-coding RNA (EGUI_LNC006915)
Source: RNAcentral
GAUAACCAGUUCAUCCCAAGAAUAACGUCAAAAUCAUACAUAUUUAGCUGAAUCAAAUCUGCUGCUAAUUCUUUUUCUUCUAUUUGGAUUAUGCAAUUCUUGAAAAUAAUGUCAGCAACAACAAUAUUUUUAAAAGGUGUGCUAACAUAUAAUGGUUCAUUUAGUUUUCCAGACACACAAUUCAAAGAAGUAGCAAACUUGAGAGAUAUAAAAGAGUGUGAAGAGUCAGAAUCGAAUAACACACGAGCAUAAAUAGAAUUGACUGGGAUAAUACCUGUCACCACUUGAUCAUUUGCAUUGGCCUCCUGCUGGUUUAAAGUAAACACUCGUGCGUUUCCUUUUUAUUUUUGAUCAACUGGUUUGUUAGAUCUAGUGUCAUCUCUUUUCUUAUUUGGGCAAUCACGAGCCAUAUGUCCUUUUUUACCACAUAAGAAGCAUGCUCCAAUCCUUUUGAGACAAGGUCCAUUGUGAUUUUUUUCACAGUAGGAGCAGGAUGAAGAUUCUUUCUUCUUAUCAGAGUUAUUAUUUUUGAAAUUUUUCUACUGAUCCUUUAGAUUUCCUGCUGAUCUCGGUCUCUUCUUAUCUCCUCUUUCUAGUUCUGCUCUUUUCAACUCAGAUUCCACUUUCAAAGCUCGCUCCAGUACGUCCUUGUAGUUAUUGAAAAUAUGAGAAGAUAGACGGGAUCGAAUUUCAUAUUUUAGAUCUUGUUCAAAUCUGUUAGCUUUACUCCUUUCGAAUUCCAUAAGCUGGGGGCAGAAGCGGCCUAGCUCAUUAAACUUGUUAGCAUAUUCUAGCACCGUCAUAUCAUCCUUUUGCUUUAAGGCUAGAAACUCAUUUUCUUUUAC